This 200-nucleotide ribosomal RNA is filed under the name uncultured bacterium. Its description in RNAcentral is "partial 16S ribosomal RNA". It matches the Rfam family "Bacterial small subunit ribosomal RNA", at positions 524 to 723 of the family's 1533-position model. The record is from RNAcentral.
UACGGAGAGGGCAAGCGUUGUUCGGAAUCACUGGGCAUAAAGCGCACGUAGGCGGAUUGGAUAGUCGGUUGUGAAAGCCCGGGGCUCAACCCCGGAACUGCCACCGAAACUUCCAGUCUAGAGGGUGAGAGGGGAGAGUGGAACUUCUGGUGGAGCGGUGAAAUGCGUAGAGAUCAGAAGGAACACCGGUGGCGAAAGCG